UACGUAGGUGGCAAGCGUUAUCCGGAAUUAUUGGGCGUAAAGCGCGCGCAGGCGGUCCUUUAAGUCUGAUGUGAAAGCCCACGGCUCAACCGUGGAGGGUCAUUGGAAACUGGGGGACUUGAGUACAGGAGAGAAGAGUGGAAUUCCACGUGUAGCGGUGAAAUGCGCAGAUAUCAGGAAGAACACCAAUGGCGAAGGCAGCUCUCUGGGACGGUACUGACGCUGAGACGCGAAAGCGUGGGGAGCGAACAGG
This 253-nucleotide ribosomal RNA is filed under the name uncultured bacterium. RNAcentral's name for it is "partial 16S ribosomal RNA". It matches the Rfam family "Bacterial small subunit ribosomal RNA", at positions 524 to 776 of the family's 1533-position model. The record is from RNAcentral.